Molecule: transfer RNA, 73 nt
Filed under: Nematostella vectensis (starlet sea anemone)
Lineage: Eukaryota; Metazoa; Cnidaria; Anthozoa; Actiniaria; Edwardsiidae
Rfam family: tRNA
About the family: Transfer RNA (tRNA) molecules are approximately 80 nucleotides in length. Their secondary structure includes four short double-helical elements and three loops (D, anti-codon, and T loops).
Source: Rfam by way of RNAcentral
GCCUCUGUAGCUCAGUGGUUAGAGCACUGGUCUAGUAAACCAGGGGGCGAGAGUUCGAGUCUCUCCAGAGGCU